AGUGAACGCUGGCGGUAGGCCUAACACAUGCAAGUCGAACGGCAGCACAGUAAGAGCUUGCUCUUACGGGUGGCGAGUGGCGGACGGGUGAGGAAUACAUCGGAAUCUACUUUUUCGUGGGGGAUAACGUAGGGAAACUUACGCUAAUACCGCAUACGACCUACGGGUGAAAGCAGGGGAUCUUCGGACCUUGCGCGAUUGAAUGAGCCGAUGUCGGAUUAGCUAGUUGGCGGGGUAAAGGCCCACCAAGGCGACGAUCCGUAGCUGGUCUGAGAGGAUGAUCAGCCACACUGGAACUGAGACACGGUCCAGACUCCUACGGGAGGCAGCAGUGGGGAAUAUUGGACAAUGGGCGCAAGCCUGAUCCAGCCAUACCGCGUGGGUGAAGAAGGCCUUCGGGCUGUAAAGCCUUUUGUUGGGAAAGAAAAGCAGCAGGUUAAUACCCCGCUGUUCUGACGGUACCCAAAGAAUAAGCACCGGCUAACUUCGUG
This 491-nucleotide ribosomal RNA is filed under the name uncultured bacterium. Its description in RNAcentral is "partial 16S ribosomal RNA". It matches the Rfam family "Bacterial small subunit ribosomal RNA", at positions 29 to 507 of the family's 1533-position model. The record is from RNAcentral.